UGGAGGAGGAGGCAAGCUGGGUUCUGAUGAAAGGCUACGAAUCAUGCCUGCCCCAGAAGAUAGCUAGCAAGUUAGAAUAUCCUCUCCUGGCUUAAUGAUAUGCCAUAGAAUUUAACAGCUUUGCGAACAGUAAUGACCUGCAGUCCAUGCUAUCUGAAGAGAAUCUGGAGUAGUCAAUCAAGGUGUUCCGACAAAGUGCAUCCAAAUCACGCCCG
This 215-nucleotide unclassified non-coding RNA is filed under the name Hevea brasiliensis (rubber tree). The record is from RNAcentral. Lineage: Eukaryota; Viridiplantae; Streptophyta; Magnoliopsida; Malpighiales; Euphorbiaceae.